This 392-nucleotide long non-coding RNA is filed under the name Gossypium barbadense (sea-island cotton). RNAcentral's name for it is "long non-coding RNA (GBAR_LNC005181)". Lineage: Eukaryota; Viridiplantae; Streptophyta; Magnoliopsida; Malvales; Malvaceae. The record is from RNAcentral.
GAUUUCCAUUUUGCCCCAAAGUUUACAAUUCAUACAAUUCAGUCCUUGCUCAAUUAACCCCUCAAUUAAGAUAAUUUUCUCAAUUAAUACUUUUCCUAGACAUUAUAAGUUAUUUCAUAACUAUUGAAAUUCAAAAUUUCUACAUAAAACUCUAACUUCAAACUCUUUUACAAUUAGGUCCCAAACAUUCACUUUCUAUUCAAUUCUUUCAAUAAAAUCAGCAUAUAAACAAUUUAAAGCUCUAAUUCCAUGCCAAAUCAUCAUAUACUUCCAGCACAUAUUCAUAGCAACUUUCAAAUUCUUUCAUAGAAUCAAAAACUAAUGAAUUUAACAAGUGGACCUAGUUGUAAAAGUCACAAAAACACAAAAACUUCAAGAAAUAAUCAAGAAUU